Paramuricea clavata is the source of this 304-nucleotide non-coding RNA. The record is from the annotation of a GenBank genome assembly. Lineage: Eukaryota; Metazoa; Cnidaria; Anthozoa; Malacalcyonacea; Plexauridae.
UUCACUACGGUCUCGCUGGUGAUUUUGAAUUUCUCAGGGACAAGGUUUGUCGACAUCGAGACAACACAAUUUUAGGCUCAGUUUGUUCGCUAGCAUUUGUUUGACCGAAUUCGAUCUUCGCAUCUCAGGAAUUGUAUUGUAUUGUAUUGUAUUGUAUUGUUGAAUUAGUAAUACAAUUUACUAUAAAUAUUGGGAAUCAGGCACGGGUGAUCACUUAGUGUUGCGUAAUCACUAUGUCGCUCAUUUCUGGCUAUGCAGUUGUUGUAACAAGUUUGGAACAAGCUGUUAAUAACUUGUAGAAGGC